RNAcentral lists this long non-coding RNA (1000 nucleotides) under Marmota monax (woodchuck). The stretch from base 938 to 1000 matches the Rfam family "tRNA", at positions 1 to 62 of the family's 71-position model. The record is from RNAcentral. Lineage: Eukaryota; Metazoa; Chordata; Mammalia; Rodentia; Sciuridae.
GGUCACCUGUGUGUGCGCUGAGGUAGGGGUGUGUGUGUGAAUGUGUGUGUGUGUGCCUUAGUGUGGUGAUCCAAGCAAAUCCUGUUUUCGGGUUUGCAGAUUGACUGAACGCAUUGGCCCUUUGACAUUCCACUCUCCCAUAAACUCCCCCCAUCCAUGGUGUGCAACUUACUAUAAUACCUCAUGCAAAUCUAAGUAUCUAACUAUUUCCUCACUCCUGAGAAAGUUGAAAACAGGAUGGUACUAUGCCUUCACACUCUUGGUCUGUUUCCAGCAUGGAAGAAUUAAGCUAAUGCAGCCAAAAGAAACCAGAUGUGACCUUAGGACAUCCUGAAACCGGCCAUUCAGUAUAGCAACGUUAAUCAGCUGAAUUAAGGGCCUGGAAUUUAAGGGAUAAUUUUGUUUUACACUGUUAGUACCAACUACCUGCUUUAAGGCAGACACAAAAGACAGAAUUAUCCCUUCCCCUCCUUUAACUUAACGUUAAGUUUCGUUUUUCCAAAUGUAAAGUCAGUUGGGCCCAUUUAUGCCUUUUCCCCAGCCUCUGGGACAUCUCUGCCCUUGAUAUUCAUGGUGUAAAUAGCUUGAGCUCUGUGCCUUGAGACCAGUAUGAUAAAUCCUUUACUAAAGGGAACCUUGGAUCUUCAGUUUCUCAAGACCAUAGCUGGGGUUAUAAGCUUAUCAUUUGUCACAAGUAGCUUCAUCAAAGAUUCAGUUAUUAAACUUGUCCCAAACUUUGCCUCUGGAACAUUCUUUCUUUUUAGCCUGUCCCCCAAAUUUGUUCACUGAAUCUUUUUGUCUUUCUUGGCCAAUUUUCCAGAGUCUCUCUUUGGUCGUCCCUGGGUAGCAUGGCCAACCUCAGAGGGCAACACUGACCACUACAGCAUUACUAACAGCCUGGGCCUCCUUUGACUUAAAGAAGGACAUUUUCAUGCAUGGGGUUGUAGCUCAGUGGUAGAGCCCUUGCCUAGCAUGUGUGAGGCCCUGGGUUCGAUUCUCA